Molecule: ribosomal RNA, 460 nt
Filed under: uncultured bacterium
Lineage: Bacteria
Description: partial 16S ribosomal RNA
Rfam family: Bacterial small subunit ribosomal RNA
Source: RNAcentral
CCUACGGGUGGCAGCAGUGAGGAAUAUUGGUCAAUGGACGAGAGUCUGAACCAGCCAAGUAGCGUGAAGGAUGACUGCCCUAUGGGUUGUAAACUUCUUUUAUAUGGGAAUAAAAUGUUCCACGUGUGGGAUUUUGUAUGUACCAUAUGAAUAAGGAUCGGCUAACUCCGUGCCAGCAGCCGCGGUAAUACGGAGGAUCCGAGCGUUAUCCGGAUUUAUUGGGUGUAAAGGGAGCGUAGGUGGAUUGUUAAGUCAGUUGUGAAAGUUUGCGGCUCAACCGUAAAAUUGCAGUUGAAACUGGCAGUCUUGAGUACAGUAGAGGUGGGCGGAAUUCGUGGUGUAGCGGUGAAAUGCUUAGAGAUCACGAAGAACUCCGAUUGCGAAGGCAGUUCACUGGACUGCAACUGACACUGAGGCUCGAAAGUGUGGGUAUCAAACAGGAUUAGAUACCCCAGUAGUC